CCGGGGUCAGAUGCGUCCGGCGGAGCGACGGAGGGAGCGAACGAAAGCAGAUUUCCAACGGACUCUUUUUAAAGGCAGCGACUGUCAGAGGUUUGCUGGGCUGCUCUAGGAACCGUGAUUAAUUAGAACGAGGAACAGCUCUUGAGCAGGAAUAAUGUUAUUAGAAAGUCUAAUUGUUGAUUGUUCUGUAUGCCAAACAAUACGUGCGUGUCAAACCCAUUUAUCACAGUGACUUCUGUGCAACAGAAGAGGAACUUGCCUCAUCUGUCAGCCCACAGGGCCAGUCCUGCUGGAGUAACCACAUGGCUGUGCAAUGUCACAGUUUCACAGCUCAGUGUCAUCCGUGCUGCUUUCGAGUUACACACAAAGCAUCCUGCUGUAUCCAGGAGAAGCAUUUCCUUCCCCUAGACAUAGAUGGAAGAGAAGAGGCCCUGUCCUCUUGCAAUAAGGCACAGCUGAACACAGGGUGCUGCUGGACUCAGUGAAGCACAGCUGCAGAGCUCUGCAGAUACAGCAGACUGGAAUGGGGCUAGGAGGUGCUGCCCUAUAUGGAGAUGCUGUACUUCAUGGAGGUGCUGCCCUGCACAGAGCUCAGCUGGGCUGCAUCAGCCUCAUCCUCUCCUUGGGAUGCCUUCCUCUCUGUGCACCAUUUUCUGAUCCAGGGGGGAAGCACCACAUUUGCAUGUGAAGUGCGAGAGCGCCUCAGCAAUUAAAUUAAAUUCUAAUUAUUGUAUAUCACAUAUUAGCAAUUUCUACCAUGCUAAUAUUAAUUGCUAACAAGAUGAUAAGAUGUAUCAGGUAGUCACAAUGGAGCACUGCCUUUGUUUGCCUGGCAGAUACGUGUGGCAGUGAAGCACUGGGAAUCUGGUGCAGAAUUUGCUGCAGAUGUAAAUGUCUGAUGGAAGAAGGUGAAGGUUUCCCCUGCCCCAGGGUGUUUGCAUGGCUUCCAUUGCAUGCAUGGAAAGCCCAGCUUAUGGGGCUGGCUCUGAACUCAGCCAGCAUUGCUGUGGUGACUUAAUGUCCGGUCUCACAGCGAGGUGAUGAUGUCCCAGGGGUUAUUUGUCUGUCUUCUGAAAAAAAAGCCCUGUGUGAGUCAGGCAGUCUGCAC
This 1108-nucleotide long non-coding RNA is filed under the name Phasianus colchicus (ring-necked pheasant). RNAcentral's name for it is "lncRNA (ENSPCLG00000015180.1)". Lineage: Eukaryota; Metazoa; Chordata; Aves; Galliformes; Phasianidae. The record is from RNAcentral.